GACGAACGCUGGCGGCGUGCCUAAUACAUGCAAGUCGAACGCAGUUGGGACGGGUGAGUAACACGUGGGUAACCUCCCAUCAGAGGGGAUAACACUUGGAAACAGGUGCUAAACCGAUACUGAUGGAUGAACCCGCGGUGCAUUAGCUAGUUGGUGAGGUAACGGCUCACCAGGGCCACGAUGCAUAGCCGGCCUGAAAGGUUGGGCGGCCAGCCUGGGACUGAGACACGGCCCAGACUCCUACGGGAGGCAGCAGUGGGGAAUCUUCGGCAAUGGACGAAAGUCUGACCGAGCAACGCCGCGUGAGUGAAGAAGGUUUUCGGGUCGUAAAACUCUGUUGUUAGGGAAGCGGUAGCUAACCAGAAAGCCACGGCUAACUACGUGCCAGCGGCCGCGGUAAUAC
Molecule: ribosomal RNA, 403 nt
Filed under: uncultured bacterium
Lineage: Bacteria
Description: partial 16S ribosomal RNA
Rfam family: Bacterial small subunit ribosomal RNA
Source: RNAcentral